Molecule: non-coding RNA, 75 nt
Organism: Podarcis lilfordi (Lilford's wall lizard)
Lineage: Eukaryota; Metazoa; Chordata; Lepidosauria; Squamata; Lacertidae
Source: the annotation of a GenBank genome assembly
UGACUGGGAUAGCUCAGUCAGUAGAGCAUGAGACACUUAAUCUCAGGUUCUGGGUUCAAACCCCACGUUGGGCAA